UACAGAGGCCACAAGCGUUAGACGGAAUCACUGGGCUUAAAGCGUGUGUAGGCGGGAUGGUAAGUACCUUGUGAAAUCCCACAGCUUAACUGUGGAAAUGCUUGGUAUACUGCCGUUCUUGAGUCACCUAGGGGCAGCUGGAACAGAUGGUGGAGCGGUGAAAUGCAUAGAUAUCAUCUGGAACGCCAAUGGUGCGACAAGCUGCUGGGGGUGUACUGACGCUGAGGCACGAAAGCCAGGGGAGGCAAACGGG
This 253-nucleotide ribosomal RNA is filed under the name uncultured bacterium. Its description in RNAcentral is "partial 16S ribosomal RNA". It matches the Rfam family "Bacterial small subunit ribosomal RNA", at positions 524 to 776 of the family's 1533-position model. The record is from RNAcentral.